CCUACGGGAGGCAGCAGUAGGGAAUAUUGCUCAAUGGGGGAAACCCUGAAGCAGCAACGCCGCGUGGAGGAUGAAGGUUUUCGGAUUGUAAACUCCUUUUGUUAGAGAAGAAAAUGACGGUAUCUAACGAAUAAGCACCGGCUAACUCCGUGCCAGCAGCCGCGGUAAUACGGAGGGUGCAAGCGUUACGCGGAAUCACUGGGCGUAAAGAGCGCGUAGGCGGGGUAGGAAGUCAGAUGUGAAAUGCUAUGGCUUAACCAUAGAACUGCAUUUGAAACUGUUAUUCUAGAGUACAGGAGAGGUAAGUGGAAUUCCUGGUGUAGCGGUAAAAUGCGUAGAGAUCAAGAGGAAUACUCAUUGCGAAGGCGACCUGCUAGAACGUAACUGACGCUGAUGCGCGAAAGCGUGGGGAGCAAACAGGAUUAGAUACCCGGGUAGUC
Molecule: ribosomal RNA, 440 nt
Filed under: uncultured bacterium
Lineage: Bacteria
Description: partial 16S ribosomal RNA
Rfam family: Bacterial small subunit ribosomal RNA
Source: RNAcentral